AAGAAGAAGAAGAAGAAGAAGAAGAAGAAGAAGAAGAAGAAAGAUUUAUUCCUCUGUAACUGUGUUAUCAACAGGCCUUCUCCCAGAUGCCCUAGACUUUUCCUGAAGGAAGUUUUCUGGAAAUAGAGGCCUCUCUCCAGAUCCCACCAGCUUUCCUACCCUUCUGCAGCCUAGAUCAUUUACAUACAAUUUGACAACUCAUAUUUACCCUUCACCCGGAUCAUUGAGAAGUGUUGUAGCCUGUCACUGUAACCAUGCAGUUCGCUACAAGGCAUUAGUAUAUUAGUCUCCACAGCCAUGUUUGAAAACCAUGACAUGGAAGAACAAAGGACAUAAAGUUAUUAACUUGUAUGUCUUCUGGGGUUAUCUGGAAAGCUCAAUUCAAAGGAAGGCCAGUAAAAAUGGAACACCCUUUGUCAGGAGAAUGGCUGGAAACUUGGAGCACACUGUCCAUCCUGCAGGCAGUUCAACAGAAAACAAGCCGGCCCGUAGAAAAACAAGAAAAUUAGAAGUAAACAAGGAGCACA
Molecule: long non-coding RNA, 527 nt
Organism: Mesocricetus auratus (golden hamster)
Lineage: Eukaryota; Metazoa; Chordata; Mammalia; Rodentia; Cricetidae
Exons: 5
Source: RefSeq, a predicted model, not a curated record